CCUACGGGAGGCAGCAGUGAGGAAUAUUGGUCAAUGGACGAGAGUCUGAACCAGCCAAGUAGCGUGAAGGAUGACUGCCCUAUGGGUUGUAAACUUCUUUUAUAUGGGAAUAAAAUGUUCCACGUGUGGGAUUUUGUAUGUACCAUAUGAAUAAGGAUCGGCUAACUCCGUGCCAGCAGCCGCGGUAAUACGGAGGAUCCGAGCGUUAUCCGGAUUUAUUGGGUUUAAAGGGAGCGUAGGUGGAUUGUUAAGUCAGUUGUGAAAGUUUGCGGCUCAACCGUAAAAUUGCAGUUGAAACUGGCAGUCUUGAGUACAGUAGAGGUGAGCGGAAUUCGAUGUGUAGCGGUGAAAUGCUUAGAUAUCACGAAGAACUCCGAUUGCGAAGGCAGUUCACUGGACUGCAACUGACACUGAGGCUCGAAAGUGUGGGUAUCAAACAGGAUUAGAUACCCCAGUAGUC
Molecule: ribosomal RNA, 460 nt
Filed under: uncultured bacterium
Lineage: Bacteria
Description: partial 16S ribosomal RNA
Rfam family: Bacterial small subunit ribosomal RNA
Source: RNAcentral